This is a long non-coding RNA of Astatotilapia calliptera (eastern happy), 1097 nucleotides long. The record is from Ensembl. Lineage: Eukaryota; Metazoa; Chordata; Actinopteri; Cichliformes; Cichlidae.
CUCCCUCCUCCUCCUCAUGUUUUUUCCUCCUCUGCCUAUCCUCCCGCAGAUUUUCAGCUCUUCCUCAUUCUCCUCCUCCUCCUCUCUGCUUCCUACCCUCUUCCCACCAACGCGUUAUUCCUUUCCCAAUCUUUUAAUCUUUUUUUUUCCUUUUUUGUUUUUAUAUUUGUCUCUUUUUUCAACACUUCAUUCAUCAUCUCCAAUCCUCUUUUUUGGUAUAGUUUCUAUCCCCCUCCUUUUUUAAUCCCCCCCAUCAGCUUUGGCCUUUUUCACAAAUUUCCAUGGUUUAUGUCCCAAAAUCCCUCUAUUCUUUGCCACUCUCAUAACAUGUUUUUCUCUUAUCUUCCCUCCCAUCUAAUCUCUGUCAUCCUAUUUCCAGUUGUCUCUUCUCCACUCGUUGCUGUACCUCCUGCACACGCAUCUCCACUAAUCACUUGAAUCUUUUUUUGUUAUUGUCUCAUAAAUUUACCAAAUUUAGAAAUACGGGCUAAUUUUCCUCUGCGACACCUGGCAUUCCACACUAACGAGUGAAUAAGGCCGUUCAGGCUGAGUGACAGUGGACGGUUAUUUAUUGUGCGGUUACACCACACUCACCAGCUGGGGUAUAAAAGAGGUUAGACAGACAUGCAGACAGAUAUGGACCUUUGCAUGGAUGGAUGGAUGGAAGGAUUAUAAUGAUUUUCCUUUUCCUGUCUGAUGAUAUGAUGACAUUUACCUGUCAUGUGAGGACAGAAAGGGUUUUUUUAAACCAAGCUGCUCCCGUGCACUCCUCCAAAAUCCCAACUGCACAUUGGUCGAUGUGUUCACUGCUGACUGCUCAUAAAGUGGACCGGAAUCGCUGGCUGAUGGAAAAACAACAGCGCAAGCAAGAGUGGCCCACAGACCGGUUGUACCACAUAUUUUUGACAACACCCUCAUGUGACAGAAAAUGAUCUCUGCAGGUACACGGGCAGUCCAGAGCUGCCCAUGGAGUGCCAAUGCACUUCCACUGCUUGUUCCUAAUUUGCCUCUUUACUCCUUCUUUCCUUUCCUUGUGCAUUUGUACAUUCUUGUUUCUUUUCCUCAUCCCUUUACCAAAUGUGUUAGUUCAGGACAGG